GCCGAAGUAGCUCAGUGGUAGAGUAGCUGAUUCGUAAUCAGUUGGUCGUGGGUUCAAAUCCCAUCUUCGGCU
Molecule: transfer RNA, 72 nt
Filed under: Synechocystis sp. PCC 6714
Lineage: Bacteria; Bacillati; Cyanobacteriota; Cyanophyceae; Synechococcales; Merismopediaceae
Also listed under: 9 other names
Description: tRNA-Thr (CGT) (tRNA-Thr-CGT-1-1)
Rfam family: tRNA
About the family: Transfer RNA (tRNA) molecules are approximately 80 nucleotides in length. Their secondary structure includes four short double-helical elements and three loops (D, anti-codon, and T loops). Further hydrogen bonds mediate the characteristic L-shaped molecular structure. tRNAs have two regions of fundamental functional importance: the anti-codon, which is responsible for specific mRNA codon recognition, and the 3' end, to which the tRNAs corresponding amino acid is attached (by aminoacyl-tRNA synthetases). tRNAs cope with the degeneracy of the genetic code in two manners: having more than one tRNA (with a specific anti-codon) for a particular amino acid; and 'wobble' base-pairing, i.e. permitting non-standard base-pairing at the 3rd anti-codon position.
Source: RNAcentral